AUACGUAGGGUGCGAGCGUUAAUCGGAAUUACUGGGCGUAAAGCGUGCGCAGGCGGCUUUAUAAGCCAGAUGUGAAAUCCCCGGGCUCAACCUGGGAACUGCAUUUGGAACUGUAAGGCUAGAGUACGGCAGAGGGGGGUAGAAUUCCACGUGUAGAAGUGAAAUGCGUAGAUAUGUGGAGGAAUACCGAUGGCGAAGGCAGCCCCCUGGGUCGAUACUGCCGCUCAUGCACGAAAGCGUGGGGAGCAAACAGGAUUAGAAACCCUAGUAGUCC
Molecule: ribosomal RNA, 274 nt
Filed under: uncultured bacterium
Lineage: Bacteria
Description: partial 16S ribosomal RNA
Rfam family: Bacterial small subunit ribosomal RNA
Source: RNAcentral